UGCCCAGAGAAAAGUUGUGAAAUGAUUGUCUGCCGUUGCUUUCACAGAGGGAGAGGCGGCUGACAGAAUGUACCCCAAACCACACACGACAACGUUUUU
Molecule: non-coding RNA, 99 nt
Organism: Chelonoidis abingdonii (Abingdon island giant tortoise)
Lineage: Eukaryota; Metazoa; Chordata; Testudines; Testudinidae
Source: RefSeq, a predicted model, not a curated record